RNAcentral lists this ribosomal RNA (611 nucleotides) under uncultured bacterium. RNAcentral's name for it is "bacterial SSU rRNA". It matches the Rfam family "Bacterial small subunit ribosomal RNA", at positions 8 to 608 of the family's 1533-position model. The record is from RNAcentral.
AGAGUUUGAUCCUGGCUCAGGAUGAACGCUAGCGGCAGGCUUAAUACAUGCAAGUCGAGGGGCAGCAUGUCCCGAAGCAAUUCGGGAUGAUGGCGACCGGCAAACGGGUGCGGAACACGUACAGAACCUUCCUUCGAGCGGGGAAUAGCCCAGAGAAAUUUGGAUUAAUACCCCAUAGUAUAUUGGAGUGGCAUCGCUUUGAUAUUAAAGAUUUAUCACUUGAAGAUGGCUGUGCGGCUGAUUAGGUAGUUGGCGGGGUAACGGCCCACCAAGCCUUCGAUCAGUAACUGGUGUGAGAGCACGACCAGUCACACGGGCACUGAGACACGGGCCCGACUCCUACGGGAGGCAGCAGUAAGGAAUAUUGGUCAAUGGACGAAAGUCUGAACCAGCCAUGCCGCGUGGAGGAUGAAGGUCCUCUGGAUUGUAAACUUCUUUUAUCUGGGACGAAAAAAGGCUUUUCUAAGUCGUCUGAUGGUACCAGAUGAAUAAGCACCGGCUAACUCCGUGCCAGCAGCCGCGGUAAUACGGAGGGUGCAAGCGUUAUCCGGAUUCACUGGGUUUAAAGGGUGCGUAGGUGGGUUGGUAAGUCAGUGGUGAAAUCCCCGAGC